This 405-nucleotide ribosomal RNA is filed under the name uncultured bacterium. Its description in RNAcentral is "partial 16S ribosomal RNA". It matches the Rfam family "Bacterial small subunit ribosomal RNA", at positions 28 to 526 of the family's 1533-position model. The record is from RNAcentral.
GAUGAACGCUGGCGGCGUGCCUAAUACAUGCAAGUCGAGCGAAGCGGGGACGGGUGAGUAACACGUGGAUAACCUCCUCUACGACUGGGAUAACUUCGGGAAACCGGAGCUCAACUGGAUACUUAUCGAUGGAUCCGGGCUGCAUUAGCUAGUUGGUAAGGUAACGGCUUACCAAGGCAACGAUGCAUAGCCGACCUGAGCGUGUGAUCGGCCACACGUGAACUGAGACACGGCCCAGACUCCUACGUUCGGCAGCAGUAGGGAAUCUUCCGCAAUUGGCGAAAGCCUGACGGAGCAACGCCGCGUGAGUGAUGAAGGUCUUCGGAUCGUAAAACUCUGUUAUUAGGGAAGCGGUACCUAAUCAGAAAGCCACGGCUAACUACGUGCCAGCAGCCGCGGUAAUAC